RNAcentral lists this ribosomal RNA (466 nucleotides) under uncultured bacterium. RNAcentral's name for it is "partial 16S ribosomal RNA". It matches the Rfam family "Bacterial small subunit ribosomal RNA", at positions 29 to 506 of the family's 1533-position model. The record is from RNAcentral.
ACGAACGCUGGCGGCGUGCUUAACACAUGCCCGUCGAACGGAAAGGCCCUGCUUUUGUGGGGUGCUCGAGUGGCGAACGGGUGAGUAACACGUGAGUAACCUGCCCUUGACUUUGGGAUAACUUCAGGAAACUGGGGCUAAUACCGGAUAGGAGCUCCUGCUGCAUGGUGGGGGUUGGAAAGUUUCGGCGGUUGGGGAUGGACUCGCGGCUUAUCAGCUUGUUGGUGGGGUAGUGGCUUACCAAGGCUUUGACGGGUAGCCGGCCUGAGAGGGUGACCGGCCACAUUGGGACUGAGAUACGGCCCAGACUCCUACGGGAGGCAGCAGUGGGGAAUAUUGCACAAUGGGCGGAAGCCUGAUGCAGCAACGCCGCGUGCGGGAUGACGGCCUUCGGGUUGUAAACCGCUUUCGCCUGUGACGAAGCGUGAGUGACGGUAAUGGGUAAAGAAGCACCGGCUAACUACGU